Molecule: ribosomal RNA, 253 nt
Filed under: uncultured bacterium
Lineage: Bacteria
Description: partial 16S ribosomal RNA
Rfam family: Bacterial small subunit ribosomal RNA
Source: RNAcentral
UACGUAGGGGGCAAGCGUUAUCCGGAUUUACUGGGUGUAAAGGGAGUGUAGGCGGCAUGGCAAGUCAGAAGUGAAAGCCCGGGGCUCAACCCCGGGACUGCUUUUGAAACUGCCGUGCUAGAGUGCAGGAGAGGUAAGUGGAAUUCCUAGUGUAGCGGUGAAAUGCGUAGAUAUUAGGAGGAACACCAGUGGCGAAGGCGGCUUACUGGACUGUAACUGACGCUGAGGCUCGAAAGCGUGGGGAGCAAACAGG